AAAGCGGAAGGAAUAUAGCCACGGUGGUGCAUGGCCAUCAGAUUCCCCUAUACGGCAGUGUCUCUCCCCAUCUCGACAAACUGUCCCUGCCCCUCAAUCUCACUCUCGUCCUCCGUUCCAGGGCUUACAUUUUAGGCAGACUCGUCACCUCCAAUUUCCAUACAAGGAUCAUUUGCUCUUUCACUCUUAAUGCCAACCGCCUUACCAAACCCAUGUCUCUUAUCCACUCAUGUACUCAUCACCACUGACACCACCUUGCACACUUUCUGUGUACUUUGGAUAUAUAUUUUUAUCUUUUGCAAUCAAUCAACAAAUUCUUCCAGGAAUAUUGCUACGACCAAAAAAAAUAUAUGCCAAGAUAAGUUUACAGUUUCCACCGAGUUUAUUAAUAUUCAAGAGUGAAGAACAAUGUGCCAAGAUUCUACAAAAAGAAAAAGAAUUCAAAGCCUAACAUAAUCGGUAAAUAUAUGUACAAAUAUACUAUGAGUAGCCUUGGAAGUUGGAAUGAAGAGAACCUCCUGCAAUCAUCACUAGAGUAGUUUCUGUAUAACAAUAUCUUUUCAGCUAUAAAGUGAUCCAUACUUUGUAUUGUGUUUACAUCCAUUAUUCUACGAAUGGAACGUUAAAUUUUGAACUUUAUGAAACGUAUUGUUGUGUGAUACUAUUAUCUUUCACAUAAAGAAAUUUUAAUUCAUUUGAUUUCUUUCAUUGAUAUCCCUAUCUAUAAUAGUCUUUCAACAUAGAAUCCAAAUCUAUGUUUUUUUUUUGAUCAAAAAAUCCAAAUCUAUGUUUAGACUACACAAUUACAUUCAAAGAAUUUGAUAGAAUUCAUCACAUAUGUUACUGUAAACGAAGGAAAAAGAGAGUGGAGGCAGAGGAAAGUCAAAAGGAAACAGAGGAAAAGAAGAUUGAUAUGAUCUGUAAGCUGAGCUGGUCGAUUGAUAGGAAGGAUCAAAGACUCCUGGAUAAGCCACAAGUAGCAUAAAUAAGAAAAAGUGUACUUGAUUUACUGUUUCCCUAUGCGUUUUACAUUUAUGUAUUUGUUUGUUUGUAAACAAGCAACACUUAUCUAUUUGUAUUAAGCUUUCUAUCACUAGUAAAGGAGCUCCCAAUUCCAUAUUCUAUUGUCAGAGUUGCUCUGAAGGAUGUGAAAGUGCCGGUUUUCACUUUCUUGUUUGAUUAAUCCAAGACUUGCUACUGUCUUCAGUUAUUGUAAAAUUUAGAUUCAUGGUUUCAUAUAUUUGCAGAACUUGUGGAGUUGGGCUGGGCUGGGCUGGGCUGGUGUUUCCACGUCAACCUUUGGUACACCACAUCACAAACAAAACUCUUCCAUAUUCAAUAGUAGGAGAGUUUCUCACUGUGUAGAAUGGUGUUACUUGUCUCUAGCAUCUGGACCAUUUAGAAUGGUGUCACCAUAUUUUGUAUGUAUGAACGGAUAUCCUGUUCCUUUUUUUUUGAAACGGAUAUCCUGUUCAAUUCAUAGAUCUUUUUAUAUUCCAUUAUCUUUUAUAUUCCACUCGUAAUGUGAAAUAUUUCACUAAAAUGUUCAUUUUUCCAAAAUAUCAUGUUUGAGCAGUUUGGGGUGGUUACAUGCACUUCACCGGCUUUCGUUUCGAGUUUGGGGCCUCCUUUCUGACUCAGUUAGUGGACUAUUUUCCAAGUGGAGUUAUUUGGAAGAUUGAUAUGGAGAGAGUGGCCCUGGUGGUUCAUGCGUCCUUGAUGCUCACAUCACCCAUUCCCAAGGUAUUUUUCCUUGGUCUUCAUAUUGGACUUUAGAUCCAAGCGCUUUCAGUAAAAGAACAGAGCAUAAACAAUAUAUUUGGUUGUACUUGGACCUGGCAAACACAGUUUUAUUUCAGAGACUGAGACCUAAUCGACUAGCUCGUACCUAUUAUACAAGUAUGCUAUAAACAUGGUCUAGGCGGCACAAGUGGCGCAGGUGCAACCUUCCCCACAGGUGCAAAAGGCCUUGCCGACCUUAGCGGAGGUCUGGGUCUUGGCGCAGGUGCAAGGGUUGCAGCCGCAGUGCUCCCCGCACGGGCACAUGUUGUGUUCUUGAUCCCCACCAGAUGCUGCGCUCAUCCUGCACCUACAUGGACUCCAACGUUCUUUUUUAAGUUGAACAAAAUACAUCAAUUCUUGAGAGCAUAUAGAAGAGUAGAAACCUGCAGGAUUCUCCACCUGGACAGGGAGAUGGGCAGCCACAGCGACUGUUGCCCGUGUUGUGGGUUUAGUUAUGCGUGGAAGCGCGUGGAGAGGAACGUCACUAAAUUGGACCAACUUGCUUGAAAAGAAGUUAUGAAAGACCCCAUACGGCUUUCGCUUUUAUUGCACAACCUCCGAAACCAUUUCGCGUUUAACGUCUAGAGACGGGAGUUGAUAAAAAAAAAAAGACAUAGAGACGGGACAAAAGAAAGAGCCAGACACGACACUAGCGUCUCUGUUUUAUUGCUGCUUACCUCUAUUAUUCUGUCACAAAGGAAAAACCAAGGAGAGAAGAUCCAAUUGAGAGACAUGCAUGCAAAGACGGACUCCGAGGCCACUAGCAUUGACGCGGCUUUGUCAUGGCCGCCGCGCUCUCCGCCCCGUUCGGCGACUAGACCUCUUUACUAUGUACAGAGUCCCUCCAACCACGACGUGGAGAAGAUGUCAUUUGGGUCCGGUUGCAGCCCGAUGGGUUCUCCCUCACACCCACAUUACUACCACUGCUCACCCAUCCAUCACUCCCGUGAAUCCUCCACCUCUCGCUUCUCUGACCGAGCACUCCUCUCCUACCAGUCAAUCCGCGAAGGAAGCGGACGCCGUCGUUACAUCAACAGCGCCAUCGACGAAGAAACUGACGACGGAGAUGACGACCCCUUUCGAAAUGUGCGUCUCUACGGCUGCUUGCUCCUCUCCUUGUUCCUCUUGUUCUCAAUCUUCUCUCUCAUACUGUGGGGUGCUAGCAAAUCCUACCCUCCUAAAGUUGUGGUAAAGGUAACAAUAACUAUCGCUCUUUUCUUCACUCGGUGACUCGGGCUGAGUUAAGAGUAGAGUCGACUCGUCUAGUGGAUAGGUGUUCGGUUUCACUUUCUUCGGUUUCACUUUCCUUAAAAGAAACAAUCUGAAAAAGGCCAACAAUGAAAAAUAGUAUAAUACUAGUGUUAUGUCCCGUACUAGCGUACGGGCACAAAAAUUAAUAUUACUCAUAUCUUACGAAACUUGAGUUUAUGUAACUGAUGAGAUCCUCAACAAAAUUUCCUUCCUGAUAAACUGUGUUGGAUCUGAUCCAUUAAAAAUGAUUUGGAUUAUCUAGUCUAGUGUUGCGUCAGAAAAAUUCACUCGUACUUGUGUGGACAUAGUUUUGACUAUCUCAUACCAACUGCACCAGUUAGUCUAGUGUUGCGUCAGAAAAAUUCACUCGCGCUAGUGUUAUAUUUUUUUUGCGUCAAUGGUUAAAACAAACAGAUUUAGUUCACAAUCUAUACCUCAUAUAUUGUAUUGCACAUAAUUCAUUUCAUUUGUUGCAGAGAAAUAUGAUGGAGCAAUAUAUGAAAAAGUAGCAAUAGCAGAAAAUAGAGAAAACGAAAAAUUAAAGAAAAAACAGUUAUAGAAGAUGAAACAGUUUAAAGUCAUGUUAUGAUUUGAGAGAGUGACGAUUUGAUAGUGAUUUUUUGUAACUUUUUCAUCUUCUAUAACUGAGUUUUUUUUCUUUAUUUCUCUCUCUAUCGUUUCUUAUUCUUGAUAAUGUUUCCCAGCUUUUCAAUAUUCAACAAAAAUCAGUAUAGGUUUUUGAGUACUCUAUUCAUAUUCCUUUUGUUUGGUUUAUCCCUAGAUUUAGAGAUUAAGAAUCUAAAAUAUGUUUUUGCCAAAGCCAAUUUCUUCUCUUAUGUUUUUGCCAUAUAAUUUUAAUUAAAUAUAAUGUAGAUCAAAAUUUAUGGAAGAAAAAAGCUUUUUGAAGUGGUGAAAACUAAUUUGAACGUGGGAUGAGAUUAGAUGAGAUCUUUGAGAAAAUAUAGGACUUUAGAUAUUUGAAGUUGCAAAAAAUGAAACUGACGUUAAGAUUUUUUUCAUUUUUCUUUUUGGUAAAACAUUAUCCAUGUGUCAGAAUUUUAGUGGGCAAGUAUUUUAGUGGGUAAGUGACUUGUGCUUUAGUAUAUAAAAGAUUCUUUUUUAAAAAUAAAUAAGUAAAAUAGAUUAACAAGUAAACAAAGUGUGGAAUGAGAGACAAGUGUGCAUUUGAUUUGGGAGUUAGAAUGUGAGCAAGUGUUAGACUGAAUAUAAAUACUUGCAGGGGAUGCUGGUGAGGAACUUUAACGUGCAGGCUGGUAACGAUCUUAGCGGUGUGCCCACUGACAUGCUGUCUCUUAAUUCGACUGUCAGGAUCUUCUACCGGAACCCCUCCACCUUCUUCGCCGUCCAUGUCACUGCUCUCCCUCUCCUCCUCCGCUACUCCAACCUCCUCCUUUCCUCCGGUGAGAUGGAGAAGUUCACGGUGGGUAGGAAAAGCGGAAGGAAUAUAGCCACGGUGGUGCAUGGCCAUCAGAUUCCCCUAUACGGCAGUGUCUCUCCCCAUCUCGACAAACUGUCCCUGCCCCUCAAUCUCACUCUCGUCCUCCGUUCCAGGGCUUACAUUUUAGGCAGACUCGUCACCUCCAAUUUCCAUACAAGGAUCAUUUGCUCUUUCACUCUUAAUGCCAACCGCCUUACCAAACCCAUGUCUCUUAUCCACUCAUGUACUCAUCACCACUGACACCACCUUGCACACUUUCUGUGUACUUUGGAUAUAUAUUUUUAUCUUUUGCAAUCAAUCAACAAAUUCUUCCAGGAAUAUUAUUGCUACGACCAAAAAAAAGGCGGUGCAACUCAUCACAUAUAGGUGAAAGCAGACAAGGUUUACAGUUUCCACCGAGUUUAUUAAUACUCAAUUGUGAAGAACAAUGAGCCAAGAUUCUACAAAAAGAAAAAAAAAAUUCAAAUAACAUAAUCGG
RNAcentral lists this long non-coding RNA (4970 nucleotides) under Brassica napus (rape). Its description in RNAcentral is "long non-coding RNA (BNAP_LNC013183)". The record is from RNAcentral. Lineage: Eukaryota; Viridiplantae; Streptophyta; Magnoliopsida; Brassicales; Brassicaceae.